GUUUUUUGGUUGUCAGUGCAAAUGUCAAUUGAAUGAUGGGUAGUGCGAGCAGGUCAGCAACACGGAAUGAAACAAAACGGAUCGAGGAGUGAGAAAACGGCAAGUAGAAAAGGGUGGAGCAGAAAAAAGGAGAGAGAAGAAGUGUAAGGCUUUGUUGGCUGAAAGUGGGAAAGGUGCAAAUAUUGUGGAGUUAUUCUCGAAAAAACCUGUGCCUGGCGAAGAGCCUAGUGGGACUUGGAUGAUAUGAUUGAUAGAGUGGCAGAGAAAAGCAAACUAUUGCGCUACCUGCUACUGUAACUACAUAAAGGUAAAACAUUUAUUUAUCAUGUUCUGGUUCAGCUAUUACAUUAUGUGCUGUGGCAGUGUAAUGUUUAUGUGUAAUGUUAUGUUUCUUUAUUGUUCCCACAAAGACAAAUGUGGCCUCUGUCUGUCUAGAUUGCCAGGACCUCUUUUGCGAGUCAGCCACUGGUCACAGCUCAAACUCUUCCUCUCUUGACAGUUUACUGUCUGAACCCACUGGAACCUCUGAGCGUAAGCCAGACCCACCUUGAAAAGAUCAAGACCAGAAGGUGAGAACUGACAUGGUCCCGGCAAGAUCCAGUUUGAGGCUGGUUCCACCAGAGCAGUUGGUGACACUGGUUAGACUGGUUUCUCUGUGAGCCUCUACUCCUUCAGAUCUGGAUUUACUUAUCUCAUAAUCUCUAUAACAAAGUUGGUUUUUUGGUGAUGUAGAGCAAAAAUAUAAUUUGUAGAUUUUGUAAUUUUGUAGAUAUCAUUCCAUGUUUUCAAGUUCAUUGCUCUGCCAGUUGUUUUGUUGGGAUCUCCAUUGACUACAUUAUACAUUAUUUCUUUUUGAUUUUUAAGUUCAUGUGAAAAAUACUUUUCGCAAUUCACACAGCAGGAUCAGAACUUGUUAAUACCUUCAUUUGUAAAUAACAGGGGCAAUGGGGGACUGGGCUGAGCAAUAGACGUGUGAACAAGUACUUGGGCUGUGAUGAGAGCCAGGAGAGCAUGGGUCUUUAAGUAACCCCCAGUUCACUGGAGGGGACAGAAUUUCAGAGACCUACAGAUGUCGGCAUUAUGGAGGAAAACUAAACACUGAGCAGCUCGAGAAGCUUUGUAGCAGACAACAGGUUGUGUCUGUUAUCAGGACACACUUUUGCUUCAGCAAAGAGUAGACGACACUGAGCUGAAAUAAGUCUGAUAUUUUCACUGCAGAGUCACUGUCUGAGCCACCAAAAUUAAAACCACCAACACCAGGGGCUUCAACUCUUUGAGCACUAUCACCUACCUGAAUGUAAACCCUGCAGCGCUCACUAAGAAAAGAGAGCAAAACACGACAACAGAGAGCGAUGACUCCACAAAGUAGCUGAUGUUACCAUACACAUUAAGUUUACAACAACUCUUAGACUUAAUUAAUUCAAAAAUAACUAAUCUGAUUCUGAUGAAUUCAGGGGCUGAGACCAAGCAGCAAGCUCUGGUCCUGAGAAACAAAGCCCAUGUUAAGGUGUUAUAACUGCAGUUACCUGGGUCCACGAGAGGCUGUUUGCAAAAGUACCUGAAACCGCAAACACAUUCAUUCAAAAAAGCCCAUCUUGAGAGCAGAAAUAGACACUUUUGCAGCCUGGUUCAGAGCAUAGUUCUGGUUGGAAUAACUCAGAGCUCCCACAGCGUCCUGGCACAGUGGACAUGACUAACAGGUGAGCACACUGUGGUUGUCAGCAAGGAUGUCAGCGAGGUGGCUAAAGACCUGCCUCAGCAUUGGCUCUUCACCUCUUGUCAGGUUGAAAAUUGGGCUAAGUUAGCGUUUCUUAUUUCCUGGCGGGCACUUGCAGGCUUCAAAUCACUGCUCUGUUAAUGAAUGGGUGAAAUCAAGAUGACAUCUGUAGUCCGGACAAGUAAAAUACUCCGUAAAGUUACACCAAUACUGCUUGCCUCAGCAUGUGUAUCAAAGAUAAGCAAGAAAAAUGUCUUCCUGUGAAUAAAUUCCCCCUCUUAUAAAGUAUAAGAUGAGAAAAGAAAAGAAAAUUAUAAAAAUUUAAAAUUUUAGUUUGAAAGGGACAUUUCGUAGUUUAAUAAUUUUUAGAUUUAUUUCAUUUAAUUUAAGUUUAAGUAUAGUGAAAGUAGCCAAGUUAUUUAGACUUGAAAUAUUGAGAUGAAAAUAUUGAAUGGUUAUUUUAGAGUGGAAUUUAAUAACAGGCAUAAAAAGGAAACUUUUGAAAUGUCACAAAAUGAAUAUUUGGUGGAUAGCACAAAUACGAGAAAAGCAGCUGAGAAACUAUGGACAAUUUUAUGAAUAUCAUUGCAGAAAUGAUAAUAUGAAAGAUUAAUAACUGAACCUGAGAUUAUUUUAUCCUCUCUACUGUCUGUGUUCUGCUCGGUCCAACUUCAAGCAAGAUGGCAACGACGUCUCGGAAACAUAGAGACUUUACUGGUUAGCCAAUGGGAGACAAACUGGUGACGGCACUGUCAGGGAUUGGAGAGCUGCUGGGGAGUAGGCUGGCAGAUCAGGGCUUUGACAAGGUGAACAACACACACAUACAUGAAGUUUCCUUAACUGUUCAUUCAUAAAAGUAAAUUCAAUGUGUGAACAUUGUUUGGCUGGAGUAUUCAGUCAGCAGAAGCCUUUUGUUUGUCAACAGUCAUCAUUAAAUAAAGAGGGCACAGCUGGGUUCCUCCAAAAUUGAAUGUGUCUUCUCUGUCUGUUUUUUGUGUGUCUCUUUCAGGCCUUUGUGGUCCUGGGUCAGUUCCUGCUCCUAAAAAAAGACACUGAGAUGUUCUCUGAUUGGCUAAGAGAUGCCACAGGUGCAAACAUGCAUCAAGCUUUCUCAUGUGCCCAGUGUUUGAGGGACUGGUGCGCCUCCUUUCUUUGAGAGACUCCGCCCCUUCUUGUUCUUCCACUAUCAGCCUGCUGUUUUCUCCUGAGCUGGUUUCUGCCUAAUUGCUGCUGUGUGAAUGUUUCCAGAUGAACUGUCAAACACCCAUUGACACCGCAUCCGUAACGGCUGCGAAAAGGCCAUAUACGCCGAUCGCAGCUGAUCGUUUCCAUUCUAUGGAAGUGAUUGUGACUCAUAUCUCAAAUUCAAAAGCAUUAGCAGAAAUGCUUUUUCAUUUCA
Molecule: long non-coding RNA, 3116 nt
Filed under: Xyrichtys novacula (pearly razorfish)
Lineage: Eukaryota; Metazoa; Chordata; Actinopteri; Labriformes; Labridae
Source: RNAcentral